ACGCGCGGAACCUUACCAGGUCUUGACAUCCUCUGACACUCCUAGAGAUAGGACGUUCCCCUUCGGGGGACAGAGUGACAGGUGGUGCAUGGUUGUCGUCAGCUCGUGUCGUGAGAUGUUGGGUUAAGUCCCGCAACGAGCGCAACCCUUGAUCUUAGUUGCCAGCAUUAAGUUGGGCACUCUAAGGUGACUGCCGGUGACAAACCGGAGGAAGGUGGGGAUGACGUCAAAUCAUCAUGCCCCUUAUGACCUGGGCUACACACGUGCUACAAUGGAUGGUACAAAGGGCAGCAAAACCGCGAGGUCGAGCAAAUCCCAUAAAACCAUUCUCAGUUCGGAUUGUAGGCUGCAACUCGCCUACAUGAAGCUGGAAUCGCUAGUAAUCGCGGAUCAGCAUGCCGCGGUGAAUACGUUCCCGGGCCUUGCACACACCGCCCGU
RNAcentral lists this ribosomal RNA (439 nucleotides) under uncultured bacterium. RNAcentral's name for it is "bacterial SSU rRNA". It matches the Rfam family "Bacterial small subunit ribosomal RNA", at positions 959 to 1397 of the family's 1533-position model. The record is from RNAcentral.